UGCAGGGAACCUCUAAGGCAUGAAUCGC
Molecule: non-coding RNA, 28 nt
Filed under: Mus musculus (house mouse)
Lineage: Eukaryota; Metazoa; Chordata; Mammalia; Rodentia; Muridae
Source: RNAcentral